RNAcentral lists this microRNA (24 nucleotides) under Schistosoma japonicum. Its description in RNAcentral is "miRNA-3093". The record is from RNAcentral. Lineage: Eukaryota; Metazoa; Platyhelminthes; Trematoda; Strigeidida; Schistosomatidae.
UGCUCUGUGUUGAAUUUGGGUAUC